Molecule: ribosomal RNA, 408 nt
Filed under: uncultured bacterium
Lineage: Bacteria
Description: partial 16S ribosomal RNA
Rfam family: Bacterial small subunit ribosomal RNA
Source: RNAcentral
GACGAACGCUGGCGGCGUGCUUAACCCAUGCAAGUCGAACGAAGUGGCGAACGGGUGAGUAAUACGUGGGUUACCUGCCCUCCUGUUUGGGAUAAUCCUAGGAUACGGGGUCUAAUACCGAAUUAAGGGGGAUGGGCUCGCGGCCUAUCAGCUUGUGGGUGGGGUGAUGGCGUACCAAGGCGGUGACGGGUAGCCGGCCUGAGAGGGUAACCGGGCACAUUGACACUGGGAUACGUCCCAGGUGCCUCAGGGGGGCAGCAGUGGGGGCUAUUGCACAAUGGGCGAAAGACUGAUGCAGCGAGUAUGCAUGGGGGUUGCAGGCUUUCGAGUUGUAAACCUCUUUCGCUAUCGAACGGGUAGGUGGAGAAGAAGCGCCGGCUAACUACGUGCCAGCAGCCGCGGUAAUUC